RNAcentral lists this ribosomal RNA (497 nucleotides) under uncultured bacterium. Its description in RNAcentral is "partial 16S ribosomal RNA". It matches the Rfam family "Bacterial small subunit ribosomal RNA", at positions 28 to 507 of the family's 1533-position model. The record is from RNAcentral.
GAUGAACGCUGGCGGCGUGCCUAAUACAUGCAAGUCGAGCGAACGGACGAGAAGCUUGCUUUUCUGAUGUUAGCGGCGGACGGGUGAGUAACACGUGGAUAACCUACCUAUAAGACUGGGAUAACUUCGGGAAACCGGAGCUAAUACCGGAUAAUAUUUUGAACCGCAUGGUUCAAAAGUGAAAGACGGUCUUGCUGUCACUUAUAGAUGGAUCCGCGCUGCAUUAGCUAGUUGGUAAGGUAACGGCUUACCAAGGCAACGAUGCAUAGCCGACCUGAGAGGGUGAUCGGCCUCACUGGAACUGAGACACGGUCCAGACUCCUACGGGAGGCAGCAGUAGGGAAUCUUCCGCAAUGGGCGAAAGCCUGACGGAGCAACGCCGCGUGAGUGAUGAAGGUCUUCGGAUCGUAAAACUCUGUUAUUAGGGAAGACCAUAUGUGUAAGUAACUGUGCACAUCUUGACGGUACCUAAUCAGAAAGCCACGGCUAACUACGUG